GAUGAACGCUGGCGGUAUGCCUAAUACAUGCAAGUCGAACGAAGAUUGUAGCAAUACGGUCUUAGUGGCGAAUGGGUGAGUAACUCGUUGGUGAUCUGCCCCAAAGAGGGGGAUAACAGUUCGAAAGGACUGCUAAUACCCCCAUGUGGUUACGGAGAUUAGAAGACCGUAACUAAAGGAGCAAUCCGCUUUGGGAUGAACCUGCGUCCCAUCAGCUAGUUGGUAGGGUAACGGCCUACCAAGGCGACGACGGGUAGGGGACCUGAGAGGGUGGCCCCCCACACUGGCACUGAAACACGGGCCAGACACCUACGGGUGGCAGCAGUAGGGAAUAUUGCACAAUGGGCGAAAGCCUGAUGCAGCAACGCCGCGUGUACGAUGAAGGUCUUCGGAUCGUAAAGUACUUUUUGGGGAGAUGAGGAAGGACAGUAUCCUCAGAAUAAGAUUCGGCUAACUACGUG
RNAcentral lists this ribosomal RNA (461 nucleotides) under uncultured bacterium. RNAcentral describes it as "bacterial SSU rRNA". It matches the Rfam family "Bacterial small subunit ribosomal RNA", at positions 28 to 507 of the family's 1533-position model. The record is from RNAcentral.